This 1018-nucleotide long non-coding RNA is filed under the name Panax ginseng (ginseng). RNAcentral describes it as "long non-coding RNA (PGIN_LNC007655)". The record is from RNAcentral. Lineage: Eukaryota; Viridiplantae; Streptophyta; Magnoliopsida; Apiales; Araliaceae.
AAGAGAGAUAUUACCUUAAAAAUUACAACAAAAAGAUGAUGAGAAUAUAUAUAUUACACUUCAAACUCAUCUUUAGUUCUUACUAAGGAGUAUACCCCUAAAAAAGACUUAUAAAUAUAGUUAAUUUGUCCAAAAGAAGGUCACGCCAUAGGAGAUUUACAACAUAAAGAAUGGCCAAAUUUAUUUACAAAAUUCAUACAACAAAUUUAUUUAAGUACCACAUAAAAAUACAAUAUUAUAUCCUCCAAACAUUUACGUUGUCGUUAGUUUGGUGGGUCUUCUUUUGAUUUUGUUUCCUUGGAAUUGAGUUCUGCAUCCCUAUAAAAUAAAACAAUGCACCAAAAAAUGCAAGACAAAUAUAUCAGAAGAUAUGGGACUGCCAAAAAUAAAUAGCAAGACCCCAAGACCUUUGAGCAUAUGUAUGACAUUUGAGCAGAGGAUCAUUAACUGAGAUGCAAAUCAAUCACAAAUCAAUACUAAUAUAUAAAGGAAGUAAGAAUGAUCCAAAACUCACCUCUCAAUUGCAAAAUUCAAUGAGUCAACUCUUAAUUAAUUAAGAGUUAACUUGCUCAAUUGGAAAACUCACGUGUGUGCAGCUGACAAAAGAAAUUAAUAACAAUGGAGCCAUAUUCCUUGACAAUCUACACUUAGUAACAGUAUCAAUCAAAAUCAAAUAGUCUAGUGAAUCCAUUUCUCAAUUCAUUCAUUCAUAAUGAUCAAAUAAAUGAAUAGACUUGCCUUUUUGUAUGCAUUUGGCAUUGUCUACAAUGCCCUUACUCUGCUCUCUGCCAACUGAGCUUUACCGUUAAGGAAAAGGCAAAAAACCCAGCUUUUAUGAUAUAUGAUAGUUUUGGCUUUUUGGCAUCAAAGAGAAAAAAGAAAAAAAAUAAUAAUAAUACUUUCAAGCCCAUGUGAAAGGUCUAUAUAUAAUUAUAUAUACAUGUAUUGUUUUUAAUAAUUUUUUGAGUUGAUGUAACUAUAUAUUUCUAAAGACAACCCAAUNNNNNNNNNNNNNNNN